This 200-nucleotide ribosomal RNA is filed under the name uncultured bacterium. Its description in RNAcentral is "partial 16S ribosomal RNA". It matches the Rfam family "Bacterial small subunit ribosomal RNA", at positions 29 to 256 of the family's 1533-position model. The record is from RNAcentral.
AGCGAACGCUGGCGGCAGGCCUAACACAUGCAAGUCGAACGAAGUCUUCGGACUUAGUGGCGGACGGGUGAGUAACACGUGGGAACGUACCUUUUGGUUCGGAACAACUCAGGGAAACUUGAGCUAAUGCCGAAUGUGCCCUUCGGGGGAAAGAUUUAUCGCCAUUAGAGCGGCCCGCGUUAGAUUAGCUAGUUGGUGGG